RNAcentral lists this small nuclear RNA (81 nucleotides) under Cervus elaphus hippelaphus. Lineage: Eukaryota; Metazoa; Chordata; Mammalia; Artiodactyla; Cervidae. The record is from RNAcentral.
GUGCUAGCUUCGGCAGCGCAUAUACUAAAAUUGGAAUGAUACAGAGAAGAUCAACAUGUCUCCUGCACAAGGAUGACACGC